Molecule: transfer RNA, 91 nt
Filed under: Bacteroidia bacterium
Lineage: Bacteria; Pseudomonadati; Bacteroidota; Bacteroidia
Description: tRNA-Ser
Rfam family: tRNA
About the family: Transfer RNA (tRNA) molecules are approximately 80 nucleotides in length. Their secondary structure includes four short double-helical elements and three loops (D, anti-codon, and T loops). Further hydrogen bonds mediate the characteristic L-shaped molecular structure. tRNAs have two regions of fundamental functional importance: the anti-codon, which is responsible for specific mRNA codon recognition, and the 3' end, to which the tRNAs corresponding amino acid is attached (by aminoacyl-tRNA synthetases). tRNAs cope with the degeneracy of the genetic code in two manners: having more than one tRNA (with a specific anti-codon) for a particular amino acid; and 'wobble' base-pairing, i.e. permitting non-standard base-pairing at the 3rd anti-codon position.
Source: RNAcentral
GGAGACCUGCUCGAGUGGUUGAAGAGGCACGCCUGGAAAGUGUGUAUACCCCUAAAGGGUAUCGAGGGUUCGAAUCCCUCGGUCUCCGCAA